ACAAAGGAGGGUAAUGGGGAACAAAUAAGAACAAAGAAGAUUAUUAUUUUUACCAAGCAAUCUUGACAAAGAAGACAAAGCCAAGAGUCUUCACUGAGUAGUUAAGAAACUCCAGGUUUCUCUCUCAGUAAGGAGGAUAGAAAAGACAGAAGAAAGGUCAGUGAGUGUCCUCUCAACAGAAGGAGGGCAAAACAGUGGCAAGUUAACUGGGAAAGGCGGACUGAAAUGCUGAGAGCUUCUGCUUCCGAGCAUCCCCUGAGCCUGCUGGGAAUGCACCCUCAGGCUCUGCCCCAGACCUCCCGACCUUGAGUCUGCAACCUAACAGACUGCAGAGUGAGCCCAGGGUGCCUCAGAUCGUGAGAAGCAAGACAUCCGGCAGCAUACUCUUGUUAAGUGUGACCACCUGCACUGACUUACAUAAGCAGAUUUAGGGGCUGGAGAGGAGGAUCAUGUCUAAAGGUAUGUACUGCCCUUGCGGAAGACCUGAGUUUGGUUCCCCAUGCCCACAUUGGAUAGCUCACACCUGAACUGAAUGAUCAAAGAUGGGGUAGAAACCCUGGAUCAGGAUUAAAAAUUUCUACAGCAUGUAACUUCAGCUCUGGGGAGAUCAGAUUCCCUCUUCUGGCCACUGUAGGCGUCUGCAUACAUGUGCACAUAACCCCACACAGACACACAUACACACAACUUAAAAUUAUGAUGAUUAAAAGAUUUAAAUGUA
Long non-coding RNA from Mastomys coucha (southern multimammate mouse), 718 nucleotides. RefSeq lists it as uncharacterized. The record is from RefSeq and is a predicted model, not a curated record. The transcript has 5 exons. Lineage: Eukaryota; Metazoa; Chordata; Mammalia; Rodentia; Muridae.